UUUUAUGGAGAGUUUGAUCCUGGCUCAGGAUGAACGCUGGCGGCGUGCCUAAUACAUGCAAGUCGAGCGAACGGACGAGAAGCUUGCUUCUCUGAUGUUAGCGGCGGACGGGUGAGUAACACGUGGAUAACCUACCUAUAAGACUGGGAUAACUUCGGGAAACCGGAGCUAAUACCGGAUAAUAUUUUGAACCGCAUGGUUCAAAAGUGAAAGACGGUCUUGCUGUCACUUAUAGAUGGAUCCGCGCUGCAUUAGCUAGUUGGUAAGGUAACGGCUUACCAAGGCAACGAUGCAUAGCCGACCUGAGAGGGUGAUCGGCCACACUGGAACUGAGACACGGUCCAGACUCCUACGGGAGGCAGCAGUAGGGAAUCUUCCGCAAUGGGCGAAAGCCUGACGGAGCAACGCCGCGUGAGUGAUGAAGGUCUUCGGAUCGUAAAACUCUGUUAUUAGGGAAGAACAUAUGUGU
This 469-nucleotide ribosomal RNA is filed under the name Staphylococcus aureus. RNAcentral's name for it is "bacterial SSU rRNA". It matches the Rfam family "Bacterial small subunit ribosomal RNA", at positions 1 to 458 of the family's 1533-position model. Lineage: Bacteria; Bacillati; Bacillota; Bacilli; Caryophanales; Staphylococcaceae. The record is from RNAcentral.